RNAcentral lists this ribosomal RNA (453 nucleotides) under uncultured Paraprevotella sp. Its description in RNAcentral is "partial 16S ribosomal RNA". It matches the Rfam family "Bacterial small subunit ribosomal RNA", at positions 341 to 792 of the family's 1533-position model. Lineage: Bacteria; Pseudomonadati; Bacteroidota; Bacteroidia; Bacteroidales; Prevotellaceae. The record is from RNAcentral.
ACGGGAGGCAGCAGUGAGGAAUAUUGGUCAAUGGGCGCGAGCCUGAACCAGCCAAGUAGCGUGGAGGAAGACGGCCCUAUGGGUUUUAAACUUCUUUUGCACGGGAAUAAAGUCGGGGACGCGUCCCCGUUUGCAUGUACCGUGCGAAUAAGCAUCGGCUAAUUCCGUGCCAGCAGCCGCGGUAAUACGGAAGAUGCGAGCGUUAUCCGGAUUUAUUGGGUUUAAAGGGAGCGUAGGCGGCCUGUUAAGUCAGCGGUCAAAUGUCAUCGCCCAACGAUGUCAAGCCGUUGAAACUGCCGGGCUUGAAUGCACGCAAGGAAGGUGGAAUUCGUCGUGUAGCGGUGAAAUGCUUAGAUAUGACGAAGAACUCCGAUUGCGAAGGCAGCCUUCUGGGGUGCGAUUGACGCUGAGGCUCGAAGGUGCGGGUAUCAAACAGGAUUAGAUACCCUGGUA